CAGUAGCCACGGUAAUACGAAGGGUGCAAGCGUUAAUUGGAAUUACUGGGCGUAAAGCGUGCGUAGGCGGUUUGUUAAGUCUGCUGUGAAAUCCCCGGGCUCAACCUGGGAAUGGCAGUGGAUACUGGCAAGCUAGAGUGUGUCAGAGGAUGGUGGAAUUCCCGGUGUAGCGGUGAAAUGCGUAGAGAUCGGGAGGAACAUCAGUGGCGAAGGCGGCCAUCUGGGACAACACUGACGCUGAGGCACGAAAGCGUGGGGAGCAAACAGGAUUAGAUACCCCAGUAGUCCCUGUCUCUUAUAA
This 301-nucleotide ribosomal RNA is filed under the name uncultured bacterium. RNAcentral's name for it is "partial 16S ribosomal RNA". It matches the Rfam family "Bacterial small subunit ribosomal RNA", at positions 509 to 809 of the family's 1533-position model. The record is from RNAcentral.